This 164-nucleotide ribosomal RNA is filed under the name uncultured bacterium. RNAcentral describes it as "partial 16S rRNA". It matches the Rfam family "Bacterial small subunit ribosomal RNA", at positions 355 to 511 of the family's 1533-position model. The record is from RNAcentral.
UAGGGAAUCUUCCACAAUGGGCGAAAGCCUGAUGGAGCAACGCCGCGUGUGUGAUGAAGGGUUUCGGAUCGUAAAACUCUGUUGUUAGAGAAGAACAUGCAGGAGAGUAACUGUUCUUGUAUUGACGGUAUCUAACCAGAAAGCCACGGCUAACUACGUGCCAG